RNAcentral lists this ribosomal RNA (418 nucleotides) under uncultured organism. Its description in RNAcentral is "bacterial SSU rRNA". It matches the Rfam family "Bacterial small subunit ribosomal RNA", at positions 346 to 776 of the family's 1533-position model. The record is from RNAcentral.
GCGCAGCAGUCGAGAAUCUUCCCCAAUGGGCGAAAGCCUGAGGGAGCGACGCCGCGUGCGGGAUGAAGGGCUUCGGCCUGUAAGCCGCUUUUAUUUGGGAAGAAGUGCAAACUGACGGUACCAAAUGAAUAAGAGGUUGCUAACUCUGUGCCAGCAGCAGCGGUAAUACAGAGACCUCAAGCGUUAUCCGGAUUUAUUGGGCGUAAAGCGUCCGCAGGUGGUUCGUUAAGUCAAUGGUCAAAUCACGGGGCUCAACCCCGCAACUGCCAUUGAUACUGGCGAGCUUGAGGCCGGUAGAGGUAAGCGGAAUUACAGGUGUAGCGGUAAAAUGCGUUUAUAUCUGUAAGACACCAAAGGCGAAAGCAGCUUACUGGAACGGUCCUGACACUCAUGGACGAAAGCGUGGGGAGCGAAAAGG